Molecule: ribosomal RNA, 448 nt
Filed under: uncultured bacterium
Lineage: Bacteria
Description: bacterial SSU rRNA
Rfam family: Bacterial small subunit ribosomal RNA
Source: RNAcentral
UGGGGAAUCUUGGACAAUGGGCGCAAGCCUGAUCCAGCCAUGCCGCGUGAGUGAAGAAGGCCUUCGGGUUGUAAAGCUCUUUUACCAGGGACGAUAAUGACGGUACCUGGAGAAUAAGCCCCGGCAAACUUCGUGCCAGCAGCCGCGGUAAUACGAAGGGGGCUAGCGUUGUUCGGAAUUACUGGGCGUAAAGCGCACGUAGGCGGAUUGUUAAGUCAGAGGUGAAAUCCCGGAGCUCAACUUCGGGAACUGCCUUUGAUACUGGCAAUCUAGAGUCCGGAAGAGGUUAGUGGAAUUCCCAGUGUAGAGGUGAAAUUCGUAGAUAUUGGGAAGAACACCAGUGGCGAAGGCGGCUAACUGGUCCGGUACUGACGCUGAGGUGCGAAAGCGUGGGGAGCAAACAGGAUUAGAUACCCUAGUAGUCCCUGAGCGGGCUGGCAAGGCGCAU